RNAcentral lists this ribosomal RNA (942 nucleotides) under uncultured bacterium. RNAcentral's name for it is "bacterial SSU rRNA". It matches the Rfam family "Bacterial small subunit ribosomal RNA", at positions 8 to 932 of the family's 1533-position model. The record is from RNAcentral.
AGAGUUUGAUCCUGGCUCAGGACGAACGCUGGCGGCGUGCCUAAUACAUGCAAGUCGAGCGAACUUUUGGGAGCUUGCUCCCAAAAGUUAGCGGCGGACGGGUGAGUAACACGUGGGCAACCUGCCUGUAAGACGGGGAUAACUUCGGGAAACCGGAGCUAAUACCGGAUGACUCUUUUCCUCGCAUGAGGAAAAGCUGAAAGAUGGUUUCGGCUAUCACUUACAGAUGGGCCCGCGGCGCAUUAGCUAGUUGGUGAGGUAACGGCUCACCAAGGCCACGAUGCGUAGCCGACCUGAGAGGGUGAUCGGCCACACUGGGACUGAGACACGGCCCAGACUCCUACGGGAGGCAGCAGUAGGGAAUCUUCCGCAAUGGACGAAAGUCUGACGGAGCAACGCCGCGUGAGUGAUGAAGGUUUUCGGAUCGUAAAACUCUGUUGUUAGGGAAGAACAAGUAUCGGAGUAACUGCCGGUACCUUGACGGUACCUAACCAGAAAGCCACGGCUAACUACGUGCCAGCAGCCGCGGUAAUACGUAGGUGGCAAGCGUUGUCCGGAAUUAUUGGGCGUAAAGCGCGCGCAGGUGGUUCCUUAAGUCUGAUGUGAAAGCCCCCGGCUCAACCGGGGAGGGUCAUUGGAAACUGGGGAACUUGAGUGCAGAAGAGGAAAGUGGAAUUCCACGUGUAGCGGUGAAAUGCGUAGAGAUGUGGAGGAACACCAGUGGCGAAGGCGACUUUCUGGUCUGCAACUGACACUGAGGCGCGAAAGCGUGGGGAGCGAACAGGAUUAGAUACCCUGGUAGUCCACGCCGUAAACGAUGAGUGCUAAGUGUUAGGGGGUUUCCGCCCCUUAGUGCUGCAGCAAACGCAUUAAGCACUCCGCCUGGGGAGUACGGCCGCAAGGCUGAAACUCAAAGGAAUUGACGGGGGCCCGCACAAGCGG